GAAAUCAUUUUAAUCUCCAAAGAUUUAUAGAUAUUGAGUGACUCCGAACAGGAAGAGGACGAAAAAAAAUAACUGUCAGCCACACCGAGUCAAACUGGACCCGCUGCUACCAUGAACAGCAAAGGUCAGUAUCCAAUGCAGCCAGCCUACCCAGUGCAGCCUCCUGGGAAUUGGUACACCCUCAGACCUUACAUCUUCCUCAGGCUCCUUCCUGUGCUGAUGCUCCACCUGCUCACUCAGAGCUCUGUCUUCCGGGCUUUGUGCACCCAGGGGCCACCACAUUCCCUACCAUGUCAGCUGCAUCCCUGGCACCUCUCUGUAUCUUCCCAUGGCCCAGUCCGUGGCUGUUGGGCCUUUAGGUUCCACAGUCCCUAUGGCUUAUUAUCCAUUGCAGCUGUCUGGAGUUGCUAAACCUUAAAGC
Molecule: long non-coding RNA, 421 nt
Filed under: Marmota monax (woodchuck)
Lineage: Eukaryota; Metazoa; Chordata; Mammalia; Rodentia; Sciuridae
Source: RNAcentral